This 286-nucleotide unclassified non-coding RNA is filed under the name uncultured fungus. Its description in RNAcentral is "sequence contains ITS1". The stretch from base 1 to 105 matches the Rfam family "5.8S ribosomal RNA", at positions 50 to 154 of the family's 154-position model. Lineage: Eukaryota; Fungi. The record is from RNAcentral.
GAAUUGCGAAAAGUAAUGUGAAUUGCAUAAUUCCGUGAAUCAUCAAAUCUUUGAACGCAUAUUGCGCUGUCUGGAAUUCCGGACAGCAUGCCUGUUUGAGUAUCAGUUUACCCUCUCACCUAUGUGGAGUUGAGCGACGUGUCUUCACCCGCUUUAAAUAUAUGGAAUGCCUUCUUGGAGGUAGCAGAGCCAGUCCGAAAGGAAUGUCUGUUUACCAAAAAGAAAAGCAGGCCUAACCCUUUAAACUUUUGAUCUCAAAUCAAGCAAGACUACCCGCUGAACUUAA